This 1017-nucleotide ribosomal RNA is filed under the name Megascolecidae sp. YN201757-03. RNAcentral's name for it is "partial small subunit ribosomal RNA". Lineage: Eukaryota; Metazoa; Annelida; Clitellata; Crassiclitellata; Megascolecidae. The record is from RNAcentral.
UCUAGAAUUCAGCAUGUGUACUGCCGUUGUAAGCAUACCUCUAAAAGAAUAAGUAUGCCAUUAUGAUUAACAACUCAUAUACAUCAGGUCAAAGUGCAGCCAAUGAAAAGGUGAUGAUGGGUUACAACCCCAAAAUAGAGUAUCAAUAAAGAAAUAAAAAAUCUUAAGAAAGUGGACUUGGCUGUAAUCAAUUUACAAGUUAAAAAAAUGAAUAAAACCUAAGACAUGCACACAUCGCCCGUCACUCUAUCCUAAAGGAUAGAUAAGUCGUAACAAAGUAGGUGUAAUGGAAAUUGCACCUGUCGAAGUAUAGCAUAUAAAAUGCUCUCUACUUACACUAGAACUAAAGUUAAUAACUUACUUCGCCCAUAAAGCCCGAUCCUAUAAAUUAAAAAUAAUAGAAACACCAAACAUAUAACAAUAGAUAAAGUACAUAAAUGGAAAUAAAAAUUAAUAAUAGUAAAUUUUAAUAAAUGUACCUUGUGCAUUAUGGUUUUACAAGAAAUAAAUUAAAUAUAUAUAUCCCGAAUUCUAAAUGAGAUGUUAAACUGCCGCUAAGAACCCAUUAAUAUCUGUAGAAAAAGAUUUAAAAGACAGUUUAACAGAGGCUACAUACCAUACGCAUAAGAAUAUAGCUGGUUUUCAACAAACAUUAUAUAUUAAAACAUAUAAUUAUAUUAUAGUGUAAUAUUAUUGAGGACAAGCCCAAUAAUUUAAGCAAUAAUUUAUAUAUUUCACUAUAUCUUCAUAGGCCUAAAAUCAGCCAACUAAAAUACUUUAUCGUAUCAAAUAUAGAUAAAAUUUAUAACAUUUAUAAUGCUAAAUAAAGUUGAAAUAAUAGAUAAACCAAUUUAAUCCAUUUAUAUUAUGUAAAAAUAAGUAUUAUAAAAUUAUACCUACACCAACCUAGUAAAUACAAUAAAUAAAACAAAAUAAUUAAUUAAGGAACUCGGCAAACCACUAUUUCGACUGUUUAACAAAAACAUUGUCCCAUGAAUAAAAUAUGGGAUAAUACCU